CUUAAAUCCAUGUGCCCGAUAAACGUCGCCGACAACAUCGACUUGGGUAUCUGUCCCUUCAAAUUGUUAUGCGACAAAUCGAGUACCAUGAAGUAUGAGGUCGACCCGAAAGCAUCGGGUAUCGGACCUUGGAGAUAGUUCCGGCUCAAGUUGAGGUUACCUACGGCGGAGUUCAGAAGAGUCGCCGGAAUCAGCCCCGAUAUCCUGUUGCAGUCGAGGUUCAAGGUCGCAAGAACCGCCAUUUUUCCCAAGGCGGCCGGGAUGGGUCCAGAUAACUGGUUCAAAGAAAGAUCCAAAUCGGCCAGCCGGUAGAUCUGCGAUAUCGACAAGGGUAUCGGCCCGGACAACUGGUUCCCGCUCAGUAAAGC
This 368-nucleotide long non-coding RNA is filed under the name Carica papaya (papaya). Its description in RNAcentral is "long non-coding RNA (CPAP_LNC007282)". The record is from RNAcentral. Lineage: Eukaryota; Viridiplantae; Streptophyta; Magnoliopsida; Brassicales; Caricaceae.